RNAcentral lists this non-coding RNA (411 nucleotides) under Pongo abelii (Sumatran orangutan). The record is from RNAcentral. Lineage: Eukaryota; Metazoa; Chordata; Mammalia; Primates; Hominidae.
GGACACGAUCAGCAGGGAAAGCACGUGUGUUUUUAUGAGAAUUAUGCUGAGAUAGGUAACAGAUGAGGAUGAAAUUUGGGCUUGACUGAAGUAAUGGGGGCUGUCUGUGAAGCCUUGCGGCAGUACAGCCCAGGCAGCACUGAGGAGUAAAGGAAUAUUUGGGAGGAUCAGAAGCUUGGUCCUGAUUUUGCCAUCAACCAGGACCUUGAUGACUUCAAGGGAGUCCCCAAACCCUGGGUUUCUGUUUUCUCAACUCUAACAUGAGGGGCUAGACGCAUCUGGUUUAGUUCGUCUCCAUGAUCCUGUGAAUUUCAGAUGUUGAAAAUCUUCAGAAAAGCCCUGAAAGAUGAAGAGUGGUCUCAAAUAGUCAAGACCCCCUGCUGGGGGGAGCGUCUAUCCUGCUCUGUGGAA